This 78-nucleotide transfer RNA is filed under the name Fonsecaea pedrosoi CBS 271.37. RNAcentral describes it as "tRNA-Ile (AAT) (tRNA-Ile-AAT-1-1)". Lineage: Eukaryota; Fungi; Ascomycota; Eurotiomycetes; Chaetothyriales; Herpotrichiellaceae. The record is from RNAcentral.
GUACUAAUUACCUCUCCAGUUGGUUAGAGCGUGGUGCUAAUAACGCCAAGGUCGCGAGUUCGACCCUCGUAGUGACCA